RNAcentral lists this ribosomal RNA (375 nucleotides) under uncultured bacterium. RNAcentral's name for it is "bacterial SSU rRNA". It matches the Rfam family "Bacterial small subunit ribosomal RNA", at positions 524 to 898 of the family's 1533-position model. The record is from RNAcentral.
GACGAACCGAGCGAACGUUGUUCGGAAUCACUGGGCUUAAAGGGCGCGUAGGCGGGCUGCCGCGUCCGGGGUGAAAUCCUCCGGCUCAACCGGAGAACGGCCCCGGGUACGGGCGGCCUCGAGGGGGGUAGGGGCGUGCGGAACUGUGGGUGGAGCGGUGAAAUGCGUUGAGAUCCACAGGAACUCCGGUGGCGAAGGCGGCACGCUGGACCCUCUCUGACGCUGAGGCGCGAAAGCCAGGGGAGCGAACGGGAUUAGAUACCCCGGUAGUCCUGGCCCUAAACGAUGAGAACUGGGUAGUAGCCCUGGCAUGGGGUUACUGCCGCAGCCAAAGUGCUAAGUUCUCCGCCUGGGGAGUAUGGUCGCAAGGCUGAA